GUAAUCACAGGUCAGCAUACUGUGGUGAAUACGUCCCCGGGCCUUGUACACACCGCCCGUCACACCAUGAGAGUUGAGAAUACCCGAAGCCCAUGUCAAAGUGGUCGAAGGUAGGCUUGAUGAUUGGGUGAAGUCGUAACAAGGUAAC
RNAcentral lists this ribosomal RNA (148 nucleotides) under uncultured bacterium. RNAcentral describes it as "partial 16S ribosomal RNA". It matches the Rfam family "Bacterial small subunit ribosomal RNA", at positions 1338 to 1500 of the family's 1533-position model. The record is from RNAcentral.